RNAcentral lists this transfer RNA (74 nucleotides) under Rhodococcus (subgen. Prescottella) equi. RNAcentral describes it as "Rhodococcus hoagii tRNA-Cys". It matches the Rfam family "tRNA". From Rfam's summary of the family: Transfer RNA (tRNA) molecules are approximately 80 nucleotides in length. Lineage: Bacteria; Bacillati; Actinomycetota; Actinomycetes; Mycobacteriales; Nocardiaceae. The record is from RNAcentral.
GGUCGGUAGCUCUAUUGGCAGAGCGCCGGGUCGCAGAUCCGAAGGUUGCAGGUUCGAGUCCUGCCCGACCACCA